CCUGUAAUGAAUACCUGCUUUAUGGUCCAGGGCAAGGACACCUGGCACACACAGGCAGAACGCCUGCGCGGGGUAUGUCAAUGGUUUUUACCUUUCAGACUAGAGAACAAAGUACACAGGAGAGACACCUGUGACAUACAUUAUUUUGGAUACACAAUUCUGUGAAUAUUAUUGUCAACACCAAAGGGCCUAAAUCUAGCGAAACAACUACCUGGGUGGGUGAACAAACGUGGAGGAACUGGGCUCUGAGGAUUUAAUGGAUACUGUUUGCCAAAUGGAUUGUACCUGAAGUCGGAGAGAAGGUUGUCAACGGAACUACCAGCCAGGACUCCAUUUUGGAGAAAAGGUUGUCAACGGAACUACCAGCCAGGACUCCAUUUUGGAGAAAAGGUUGUCAACGGAACUACCAGCCAGGACUCCAUUUUGGAGAAAAGGUUGUCAACGGAACUACCAGCCAGGACUCCAUUUAGGAGAGAAGGUUGUCAACGGAACUACCAGCCAGGACUCCAUUUUGGAGAAAAGGUUGUCAACGGAACUACCAGCCAGGACUCCAUUUAGGAGAAAAGGUUGUCAACGGAACUACCAGCCAGGACUCCAUUUUGGAGAAACGGCAGCUGAUCACCAUGGAGCCCCCGGAGGACUCCCAGUGCCCGUUGAUGUUCUGGGAGAGAAUGAAGCAUUGCAGCAGUUCUUUGACGGAUGCCAGGAUAUGAGUGGGGUCCUG
Long non-coding RNA from Oncorhynchus tshawytscha (Chinook salmon), 724 nucleotides. NCBI's taxonomy places the organism in Eukaryota, Metazoa, Chordata, Actinopteri, Salmoniformes, Salmonidae. The record is from Ensembl.